UACGAAGGGGGCUAGCGUUGUUCGGAUUUACUGGGCGUAAAGCGCACGUAGGCGGCUCGUUAAGUCGGGGGUGAAAUCCUGGAGCUCAACUCCAGAACUGCCUCCGAUACUGGCGAUCUUGAGUCCGGAAGAGGUGAGUGGAAUUCCUAGUGUAGAGGUGGAAUUCGUAGAUAUUAGGAAGAACACCAGUGGCGAAGGCGGCUCACUGGUCCGGUACUGACGCUGAGGUGCGAAAGCGUGGGGAGCAAACAGG
Molecule: ribosomal RNA, 253 nt
Filed under: uncultured bacterium
Lineage: Bacteria
Description: partial 16S ribosomal RNA
Rfam family: Bacterial small subunit ribosomal RNA
Source: RNAcentral